This 7384-nucleotide long non-coding RNA is filed under the name Eucalyptus grandis. Its description in RNAcentral is "long non-coding RNA (EGRA_LNC005632)". Lineage: Eukaryota; Viridiplantae; Streptophyta; Magnoliopsida; Myrtales; Myrtaceae. The record is from RNAcentral.
UCUCUCUCUCUCUCUCUCUCUCUACACGACGAAGCAAGCCAUCCAUGUCGUCUCCCCCCUCCGCCUACGCCUCCUCCUCGCCGCCGCCGUGCCCGAAGAAGAUGAUCACCCUGAGGAGCUCCGACGGGGCGACCUUCGAGAUCGAGGAGACCGCCGCCUUGCAGUCCAAGACCCUCGAGAACAUGAUCCACGAGAACUGCGCCAGCACCCCGAUCCCGGUGCCGAACAUCACCGGCAAAGUCCUGGCCGGAGUCGUGGAGUUCUGCAGCAAGCACGCCGAGGCCGGCGUCGACGACGAGAGCCUCGGCGCUUGGGACGAGGAGUUCGUCGCCGUCGAUCACACCACUCUCUUCGACUACAUCCUGGUCCGUACUUGUAUCUCCCUUUGUCAAUUUCGAUGGUUUUCUUUGUGGUGGAGUGCUGUUUCGUAUUUGCAACGAUGUUCGUAUUGCUGCACUUUUGGCUUCUGAGGAGUGAUCGGUGCUCGAUCUUGGAAUUCUUUGUUUUUCUCUCUUUCUAAGAGUGCAAGUGCUGCUCAAUUGCGCGCAUAACACGCCAUUAGGCAGCUCGAUUCCCGUCUCUGCAAGCAUCCCGAAUCUGCAUUUGCUGAGGUCACGAACUCAUGGCUCAGCUGAUGAAUUUUCGUCUCAAGAGCAUUGCAUUCUCCGGCUCUUGCCGCCCCCCUCGAACGGCUCCGCUAAACAAUGAGAGCCCGAUUCGACUAUUAUAAUGUUCCUGAAACCCAAACACCAGAGAUGGUUAAGUCCAAACCGAAGAGUUACAAUCCUGCCUGCUUGAUGAUGGGGAAACAGACAUAAGAAACGAAAAGCCCCAUCGUUUUAUCCCUUUUAAAAAGCACGCCUUCUGCUCCUGCAAAACCUGGAGUCGGGUGAACUAGUUCUCUUGAAAUUAUACCUUCCUUUUAAUUUAAAGUUCUUGAUUUACUUGAUAACAUUAAAUUGCCUUGAAGCCCUCUUCGGAACUUUAGGACUCAAGAAGCCCAAAUGAACAAACAGGACAUCUAGAUUCGGCUUUAGAUUAGUCAGGUUAAUACUCACUUUGGCCUUGUCAAUUCCGACCGGUUUCCUUUUCCUCAAUUAUGAUAGGUAGGUCUGGCGUUGCUACUUACAAAUUCGGUUAGGUCGGGCUAACAUUACUAAAAUCUUGCUUUGAUCAUCUGCACAAUCCAUGAGCUCUGUCUUGAGGGCAGUGCUAGGCCUCGAAUAGUCAGUUAUUCUAGUUCAGCAUCGGCCUUUUUUCGAAAUGGAUCUCAAUCUGUUCGGCAGGUGAAUCAAGGGAAGUAGUUUGAUCUUCAAUGGGAUCUAUAUUGGUUAUUGUUUGCUCUUAUAAUGUACAAAGUAUUUAUACCCAGAUAACUCAACAUGAAUGGCCAACAUAAGGUCCAAGAUGUGCUUAUUUCCAAUCAACCUGCACCUUCAGAAGAGCUUUUUAAUGUGAUUUAUGACUCGAAGGUUAAAGCUUGCUUUUUAAUGUUUGUGCUCAUCAGUUUUUCCUUGCAUCCAUUCAGGCGGCAAAUUUCCUGGAAAUUCCAACUUUGCUGGACUUGGGCUGCCAGACUGUGGCAGACAUGAUCAAGGGUAAGACUCCGGAUGAGAUAAAAAAAACUUUCGAGAUCACGACCGCAUGCACACCGGAAGAGGAAGAAGAGGCGCGUAGGGAGAACCAGUGGGUAUUUGAAUGAAGCCCCAUAGAAUUCAGGGUCUUGUGUUAUAUGAGACAUUGGCUCGUUAAAAGUUUGCUUCUGGCAAAGUGAACUCUUCGGUGAGUUUUUCUGACAUGAUAUGGUUGAAUGUUCAAGUGAAAAUUUCACGUAUUCAAUACUUAGGGAGGGUUUGAUCUUCCAGCAUAUUCUUGUACACGAGGACCCUGUAAAGUAGAAGUUUUGAGAUACAUGUAUGAGUUGUUUUAAAAAGAAAAAUCCCACGUCAAAUAAUUAGUGUGGCGUGGACUAAUUUAUAUAUUUUAGUUGACUCAUAAUUUAUUGACUUAAACUUUCUGAGUAAAGAUAGGUCCAAUUAGAUAUAUUGACGGGUUUGGAUUUGGUGAUCAAGUCUAGAUCCUGAUGGCAAUUCCCAACACGAUGGGAUGGAGAUUUAAGUUGAGAAGAAAGAUACCUAAAUUAAGGGGAGUAUACUUAAUACUAGGCUCGGACUUGGGUGAGAAAAUUGGUCAAAAAAUCUUAAACAUAUUGCAUUUUUGCCAAUUCUUUCUAAACCUUUUAAUUUUACCGAUUUAAGUCUUAAAAUUUUUUAUGUUUCACUAAUUGAAUUCAUCCGAUCAAUUUUAUCUGGAAAUCGCUAACGUAAAAUUCAUGUAGUGUGGGAUAAGUUAAUAUAUCCUUGUUUGGGCUGGGAUAUGGGUGGGAAAAUUGUUUAAAAAGUCUUAAACCUAAAUUCAAUUUUAUAUUUUACAAUUUUACUAAUUGAGUCCUAAACUUUUUCACGUUUUACCAAUUGAGUUCAUUUAACUAAUUUUGUCCAAAAAUUGCUAACAUGAACACCGGUCAUCCAACAUGACACGAUCGGCGAUCACAUUGACUUAGGGGUAGCACUAAGCCUCGAAUCUAUCGUCUUUGUUCGUUAUGGAACUCAUUCCAUUUGGUGGAUGAAUCAAGUCAAGUAGUUUGUUCUUCAAUGGGAUCUAUUGUCUUUUCUUUGCUUUGAUCAUGUAUAAGUAUUUAUACCCAUAUAACUCAACAUGAAUGACCAACAUAAGGUCCAAGAUGUGCUUUAAGUCCGAUCGACCUGAACCUUCGAAGAGCUUUUAUAUGUGAUUUAUAAGUUGAAUGCAAAAGCUUGUGUUUUUAUGUUUUUGCUCAUCAGUUUUCCUCGCAUCCAUUCAGGCAGCAAAUUUCUUGGAAAUUCCAACCUUGCUAGACUUGGCCUCUACGGUAGUGGCAGACAUGAUGAAGGGUAAAACGCCAGUUGAGAUAUGCAAAAUUUUCAAUAUCAACGAUACAUUCUCACCUGAAGAGGAAGAAGAGGUGUGUAGGGCGAACCAGCGGGCAUUUGAAUGAAGCCUCGGUGAAUUCCUAGGUCCUAUAAUAUGUCUGUAUCACUGGUUCAAUGAAACAACCUCUCACCUUUAACUCUAGGUAAACGCUCCUUAUAUGAGGAUACUUGUAAGAAUUAGGGUUAGAGAAGAGAUUUGAGUACUAUUUAUGGAGUUUUUAACUAGAUCCUCUCAUUACGGGUCAGGCUCAAUUCGGCCCACACUAGCCAGUCCCAUAUUUAUACUAAUUAAUAAACCUUCUAUUUCACCUUAGUCCAAAUUCUGUAAAACAGUAAAUUACAAUGUCAAUUAAUGUAGUCCACAUUAGAAAAACUCUUACAUUCUCCCACUUGGGCUGUAUUAAUUGAAAUUGUAUUGUAUGUGCAUUAGAAAAACUCUUACAUUCUCCCACUUGGGCUGUAUUAAUUGAAAUUGUAUUGUAUGUGCGCACAUUGGUCUAUAGAUAAUUUCACAGAGCCUUCCACGGUCACGAGUGCUUUUAACUUGCAUAUAUACACACAGAGCAUUCCACGGUCACGAGUGCUUUUAACUUUAUUGAUAUUGAUUCAAUAUGGUAGUAUGACAUAUGGAUAACAUCUAUCAUAGAGAUCCCAUUUGUCAAUCACCAUUCUCUUACCUUAAGUGGCAAAAAACUUGUGCCACUAGAUAAUGUGUUUAUGGUUCUAAUGAACUCAUAUAUGUCUUGUCCUUAUGGUUAACAUUUCUUUAUGUAUAACAAGACAUAUGUAUAAGGCUAAUAAUUAGAUACCCCUAACAUUCACCAGAGGUUUAAGCAAUAUAUUGAGACUUUUAAUAAUAUAUAUAUAUAUAUUCAACAUAAUAACAAUUCAUUCAAAAAUAUUUUAUUGAAUGCAAAAGUUGACACAUAUAUAUUAAAGUGUUACUAAAUUGUAACAGAAACUUUAUUCAAGAAAAAAAAAAACACAACUUCCACUAAAUAACAGCAUUCCGAGAUGUUCCUAGGCUCAUGCUAAUGACAUGUCGCUCAAAUACACACGGGCGUAGGCCUUUAGUUAGUGGAUCUGCAACCAUAUCAUCUGUAGGAAUAUGAUCUACUGCAACGUCACCAUUCUGCAUUGAUUCCUUUAUAGUAAAAAACUUGACCUCUAUAUGUUUAGACCCCUCAAGACUUCUGUUGUUAUUAAUAAACAACACUGUAGAAGUAUUGUCACAAUAUAGCUAUAUGGACCUAUCUACAAAAUCAAAAACUGAUAAUUUCCUAAUGAGGUUCCAUAGCCAAAUAGCUUAACUAGCAGCUGAAAAACAUGUUACAAACUCCGCUUACAUGGUAGAAGAAGAUAUGGAUUUUUAUUUCUCGCUCUUCCAUGAUACUGCACCUCCUCCCAACAUAAAUAUGUAUCCUGUCGUUGACUUCUUAUCACCUUAACAACCAGCAAAAUCUGCAUCUGAAUACCUUGCUAAUUGGAAGUCUGGGACAUAUCUAUAAAUCAGCAUAUAAUCUCUUGUUUUGUUUAUUUUGUUGCCUUAAUAUGGGUUGGACAUUGGCUCGAUGAAUGUUUACUUCUCACGCGGUGAAAACUUAUGUGAGUUUUUCUGAUAUGAUACGGAAUGAAUAGUCAAGCAAUAAUUUUACGGAUUUAAUACUUAAUGAGGGUUUGAUAUCCUAGUGUGUGCUUGCAUCUUGGUGAGGACUCCAGGAAACAGGAUGAAUAUGAGCUACUUUGCUAAAGGAAAGCCAUGAAUAUUGCUGCUAGUUGGUGCUGUUGUUGCCUUACGCAAAGGAUGAGAUGUCCUGUGCCUUGAACAAGACUUGAAAUCUAGAAUCCCUGGGAAAACGAGCCAUGUCAUGACAAGCGUAUGGAAUUGAGUUUUGAAACCUACCAAUUGUAGAGUGAGAAGUCAAAGAGACUUAAAAUUCGAUGAAAGUAUCGCACAAUCGAUUGUGACCAAAUGCCUGAUGCAGUGCCUUUUCCUUGGGCAUAUGAAAGAGUACCGGACACUUGGAGUGCUAAAACUUAACACGAAAAGAUAAUUAAGUGUUAAAAGUUAGGAAAGUAAUACUUAAGUGCUAAAAUUAGAGUAAAUAGAUAACUUAAGUGUUAAUUCGACCAAAAUGCCGAUAUGGCAAUUUUCCGGCGAAAUAAAUGUAAAAUGGCAACGUUUUGCAAGCUGAUGUGGGUAGUCAAUGUAAAAACGACAGUUGUUUUUGUGGUGACAUGGUAAAGAAAUAAUAUAAAAACUAAUUAAAUUAAAUUUUAAAAUAAAUUUAUUUAAAACAUUCGAAAAUAACAAUACAAAUAUUAAAAAAUUAAUUUAAAAAAAGGAGGCAGGCGGCGAGGGCUCAGCUCUUAGCUGCCCCCUUCCCUUUUUUUUUUUAAGUUUUAGUUUUUCUUAAAAUAUUUUAACAUUUUUAUUUUUAAUUGUUUUAAAUAAAUUUAUUUUUAAUUUAAUUUAAUUAAUUUUAUAUUAAUUUUUUUACCACAUUAGCACCAAAACGACGUCAUUUUUGUAUUGUCUAGUCAUGUCAGCGUGCAAAACGUCGCCGUUUCGCACUUACUUAGCUGGAGAAUCACCAUGUCAACAUUUUGGUUGGAUUGACACUUAAGUAAUUCAUUUUGUUCCGAUUUUGGCAAUUAAGUGUCAUUUUCCUAACUUUUGGCACUUGAGUCUCUUCGUGCCGAGUUUUGGCACUUAGGGUGUACUUCUGCCGCAUAUGAAAGAUAAAAAACCUUUGAUGUGCAUUCCAUGCUCGUAAAAUAAGCUUGUCAAAUAUAUUUUUUCAAUAAACGUGAAAUGUAAGGCCAUCGGAGGUUGAUGAGAGUUUUUGUGAUGAAUAAAAGGAAAGACUAUCAAAUAUAUUUUUCGAUGUCGUGUGGCAUAGCUUACAAGAGAAAUAAAUGCUGAUGAUCGUAUAAAUUCUCUAUCUUCAGUUCAAUCAAAGGUUGUACCUAAAUCAUUCGUGUUUGGUAUUACGAUUUGAAGACUAGUGAUGGCAAGUAAUGAAAUUUCUACUAACUAAACCUUAAAAGGUUAUUCAUGUGUUUCUCGAGAGGUGAAAAAUCCAGUCAAUUGGAUGCUAAAAAGUUCUAAAGAAGCUAAAACUAGAAAAAUGAACCUACAUAUAAAUCAUAUAUAGACCACAUAAAGUAUUGAAAUUCUCAUAUUUCCAUUAAAAUCAAGAUCGUUCUCAUCAUAUAUUUCUCUAAAAGUUUUGUUCCUUCAAAAUAUAAUUGAAUUGCACAACUGCCCCAUUAAGAAUUAGAUACAUGUCUAAGUGGUCCAUGAUCUACAUAUUAUUCUCGCAAUUUUUAAUAUGAUCCCAUUGAGUUUAAGCUUAAAAAUGAAAAGAAAAAAGAAAGAAGGUAGGAUAAAUUAGAUGGCUGAUGGGAUUGACUUUAUUUUUUUUUUCGCUUAAUUAAAAAUUCCUGAUUCAUGCAUUUGAAAUUUUUCUAAAUUUGAAACGCUUUGAAACUUCUACAAAAUACAAAGGGCUAAUACCCGGAAAAAUCCCAAACUGAUACACGUGUGAUAAAUUUAUUAUAAACUAAUUUUUUGACCAUGAAAAUCCUAAACUGGUACACCUAUGAUAAAUUUACCCAACUGAUUAUAAAAAAUCAUAAACUAAUAUGUUUGUGACAAAUUUACCUUAAACUAAUUUAUUCGACUACCAAAAACGCUAAAUUGAUUCAUUUAUGAUAAAUAUAUCAUCUAUUAAAUUAGAUUAAUAUAAAAAAAUUACAAAAAUUAUAUAACUAUGAUAAACAAAGAGUGAAAUCUCAAAUCGGUAUACUAGUCAACUGUCACGUGUCAUUUAACUUAAUAAUUUGACAAUAAAAUUUAAUAAAAAUUAAUUGAUGGUAAAUUUAUCACAAAUAUACCGGUUUUGGGUAAAUUUGUUAAAUGUGUAUUGGUUUAGAGUUUUUGAUAGUAAAAAAAUUAGUUUGAGAUAAAUUUAUCAUAUAUACCGGUUUAGGUUUUUCAUAGCAUUAAUCCAAAUACAAAUAUCGAUAGUAAUUUGUUUUGUAAUUUUAUAAAAUAUUUAAUAUCUUAACGGAAGGGCAGAAUAAUACAAACAGCCCCGGUUAAUCUCUCUCCGAAUUGGUUCUUCUCCACGUCUCUCUCUCUCUCUCUCUCUCAACGACGAAGCAAGCCAUCCAUGUCGUCUCCUCCCUCCGCCUCCGCCUCCUCCUCGCCGCCGCCGUGCCCGAAGAAGAUGAUCACCCUGAGAAGCUCCGACGGGGCGACCUUCGAGAUCGAGGAGACCGCCGCCUUGCAGUCCAAGACCCUCGAGAACAUGAUCCACGAGAACUGCGCCAGCACCCCGAUCCCGGUGCCGAACAUCACCGGCGAAGUCCUGGCCAGAGUCGUGGAGUUCUGCAGCAAGCACGCC